GGGUUGUGAGGUUAAGCGACUAAGCGUACACGGUGGAUGCCCUGGCAGUCAGAGGCGAUGAAGGACGUGCUAAUCUGCGAAAAGCGCCGGCGAGGUGAUAUGAACCCUUGACCCGGCGAUGUCCGAAUGGGGAAACCCAGUGCAAUUCGUUGCACUAUCGUUAACUGAAUACAUAGGUUAACGAGGCGAACCGGGGGAACUGAAACAUCUAAGUACCCCGAGGAAAAGAAAUCAACCGAGAUUCCCCCAGUAGCGGCGAGCGAACGGGGAGUAGCCCGGAGUCUGAAUCAGCUUGUGUGUUAGUGGAACGGUCUGGAAAGUCCGACGGUACAGGGUGAUAGUCCCGUACACGAAAGCACACAUGCUGUGAACUCGAAGAGUAGGGCGGGACACGUGGUAUCCUGUCUGAAUAUGGGGGCACCAUCCUCCAAGGCUAAAUACUCCUGACUGACCGAUAGUGAACCAGUACCGUGAGGGAAAGGCGAAAAGAACCCCGGCGAGGGGAGUGAAAAAGAACCUGAAACCGUGUACGUACAAGCAGUGGGAGCCUCUUUAUGGGGUGACUGCGUACCUUUUGUAUAAUGGGUCAGCGACUUAUAUUCUGUAGCAAGGUUAACCGUAUAGGGGAGCCGAAGGGAAACCGAGUCUUAACUGGGCGUUAAGUUGCAGGGUAUAGACCCGAAACCCGGUGAUCUAGCCAUGGGCAGGUUGAAGGUUGGGUAACACUAACUGGAGGACCGAACCGACUAAUGUUGAAAAAUUAGCGGAUGACCUGUGGCUGGGGGUGAAAGGCCAAUCAAACCGGGAGAUAGCUGGUUCUCCCCGAAAGCUAUUUAGGUAGCGCCUCGUGAACUCAUCUUCGGGGGUAGAGCACUGUUUCGGCUAGGGGGCCAUCCCGGCUUACCAACCCGAUGCAAACUACGAAUACCGAAGAAUGUUAUCACGGGAGACACACGGCGGGUGCUAACGUCCGUCGUGAAGAGGGAAACAACCCAGACCGCCAGCUAAGGUCCCAAAGUCAUGGUUAAGUGGGAAACGAUGUGGGAAGGCACAGACAGCCAGGAUGUUGGCUUAGAAGCAGCCAUCAUUUAAAGAAAGCGUAAUAGCUCACUGGUCGAGUCGGCCUGCGCGGAAGAUGUAACGGGGCUAAACCAUGCACCGAAGCUGCGGCAGCGACACUAUGUGUUGUUGGGUAGGGGAGCGUUCUGUAAGCCGUUGAAGGUGUGCUGUGAGGCAUGCUGGAGGUAUCAGAAGUGCGAAUGCUGACAUAAGUAACGAUAAAGCGGGUGAAAAGCCCGCUCGCCGGAAGACCAAGGGUUCCUGUCCAACGUUAAUCGGGGCAGGGUGAGUCGACCACUAAGGCGAGGCCGAAAGGCGUAGUCGAUGGGAAACAGGUUAAUAUUCCUGUACUUGGUGUUACUGUGAAGGGGGGACGGAGAAGGCUAUGUCAGCCGGGCGACGGUUGUCCCGGUUUAAGCAUGUAGGCGGAGGUUCCAGGUAAUCCGGUACCUUUUAACGCUGAGGUGUGAUGACGAGGCACUACGGUGCUGAAGUGAUAAAUGCCCUGCUUCCAGGAAAAGCCUCUAAGCAUCAGGUAACACGAAAUCGUACCCCAAACCGACACAGGUGGUCAGGUAGAGAAUACCAAGGCGCUUGAGAGAACUCGGGUGAAGGAACUAGGCAAAAUGGUGCCGUAACUUCGGGAGAAGGCACGCUGAUGUGUAGGUGAAGCCCCUGCGGGUGGAGCUGAAAUCAGUCGAAGAUACCAGCUGGCUGCAACUGUUUAUUAAAAACACAGCACUGUGCAAACACGAAAGUGGACGUAUACGGUGUGACGCCUGCCCGGUGCCGGAAGGUUAAUUGAUGGGGUUAGCGGCAACGCGAAGCUCUUGAUCGAAGCCCCGGUAAACGGCGGCCGUAACUAUAACGGUCCUAAGGUAGCGAAAUUCCUUGUCGGGUAAGUUCCGACCUGCACGAAUGGCGUAAUGAUGGCCAGGCUGUCUCCACCCGAGACUCAGUGAAAUUGAACUCGCUGUGAAGAUGCAGUGUACCCGCGGCAAGACGGAAAGACCCCGUGAACCUUUACUAUAGCUUGACACUGAACACUGGUCCUUGAUGUGUAGGAUAGGUGGGAGGCUUUGAAGCGUGGACGCCAGUCUGCGUGGAGCCGCCCUUGAAAUACCACCCUUUAAUGGCUGGUGUUCUAACGUGGACCCGUAAUCCGGGUUGCGGACAGUGUCUGGUGGGUAGUUUGACUGGGGCGGUCUCCUCCCAAAGAGUAACGGAGGAGCACGAAGGUUGGCUAAUCCUGGCCGGACAUCAGGAGGUUAGUGCAAUGGCAUAAGCCAGCUUGACUGCGAGCGUGACGGCGCGAGCAGGUGCGAAAGCAGGUCAUAGUGAUCCGGUGGUUCUGAAUGGAAGGGCCAUCGCUCAACGGAUAAAAGGUACUCCGGGGAUAACAGGCUGAUACCGCCCAAGAGUUCAUAUCGACGGCGGUGUUUGGCACCUCGAUGUCGGCUCAUCACAUCCUGGGGCUGAAGUAGGUCCCAAGGGUAUGGCUGUUCGCCAUUUAAAGUGGUACGCGAGCUGGGUUUAGAACGUCGUGAGACAGUUCGGUCCCCUAUCUGCCGUGGGCGCUGGAGAAUUGAGGGGGCUGCUCCUAGUACGAGAGGACCGGAGUGGACGCAUCACUGGUGUUCGGGUUGUCAUGCCAAUGGCACUGCCCGGUAGCUAAAUGCGGAAGAGAUAAGUGCUGAAAGCAUCUAAGCACGAAACUUGCCCCGAGAUGAGUUCUCCCUGAGACCUUGAGUCUCCUGAAGGAACGUUGAAGACGACGACGUUGAUAGGUCGGGUGUGUAAGCGCAGCGAUGCGUUGAGCUAACCGAUACUAAUGAACCGUGAGGCUUAACCUUACAACGCCGAAGGUGUUU
RNAcentral lists this ribosomal RNA (2930 nucleotides) under Enterobacter hormaechei. RNAcentral describes it as "23S ribosomal RNA". It matches the Rfam family "Bacterial large subunit ribosomal RNA". The record is from RNAcentral. Lineage: Bacteria; Pseudomonadati; Pseudomonadota; Gammaproteobacteria; Enterobacterales; Enterobacteriaceae.